This 972-nucleotide ribosomal RNA is filed under the name uncultured bacterium. RNAcentral's name for it is "bacterial SSU rRNA". It matches the Rfam family "Bacterial small subunit ribosomal RNA", at positions 9 to 1028 of the family's 1533-position model. The record is from RNAcentral.
GAGUUUGAUCAUGGCUCAGAACGUACGCUGGCGGCACGCCUAACACAUGCAAGUCGAACGAAGUAGCAAUACUUAGUGGCAGACGGGUGAGUAACAUGUAGGUAUCUGCCCUUUGGCCUGGAAUAACACGAGGAAACUUGUGCUAAUACCGGAUAAGUCUUUACGGAGAAAGCUUUAUGCACCAUUGGAUGAGCCUGCACUUGAUUAGUUUGUUGGUGGGGUAAUGGCCUACCAAGACUGUGAUCAAUAGCUGAUUUGAGAGGAUGAUCAGCCACAUUGGGACUGAGACACGGCCCAAACUCCUACAGGAGGCAGCAGUGGGGAAUCUUGCACAAUGGAGGAAACUCUGAUGCAGCGAUGCCGCGUGAGUGAAGAAGGCCCUUGGGUUGUAAAGCUCUUUCGUCGGGGAAGAAAAUGACUGUACCCGAAUAAGAAGGUCCGGCUAACUUCGUGCCAGCAGCCGCGGUAAUACGAAGGGACCUAGCGUAGUUCGGAAUUACUGGGCUUAAAGAGUUCGUAGGUGGUUGAAAAAGUUAGUGGUGAAAUCCCAGAGCUUAACUCUGGAACUGCCAUUAAAACUUUUCAGCUAGAGUAUGAUAGAGGAAAGCAGAAUUUCUAGUGUAGAGGUGAAAUUCGUAGAUAUUAGAAAGAAUACCAAUUGCGAAGGCAGCUUUCUGGAUCAUUACUGACACUGAGGAACGAAAGCAUGGGUAGCGAAGAGGAUUAGAUACCCUCGUAGUCCAUGCCGUAAACGAUGUGUGUUAGACGUUGGAAAUUUAUUUUCAGUGUCGCAGGGAAACCGAUAAACACACCGCCUGGGGAGUACGACCGCAAGGUUAAAACUCAAAUGAAUUGACGGGACCCGCACAAGUAGUGGAGCAUGUGGUUUAAUUCGAAGAUACGCGCAGANCUUACCAACACUUGACAUGUUCGUCGCGACUCUAGAGAUUAGAGUUUUCGGUUCGGCCGGGA